RNAcentral lists this ribosomal RNA (400 nucleotides) under uncultured bacterium. RNAcentral's name for it is "bacterial SSU rRNA". It matches the Rfam family "Bacterial small subunit ribosomal RNA", at positions 355 to 748 of the family's 1533-position model. The record is from RNAcentral.
UAGGGAAUCUUCCGCAAUGGACGAAAGUCUGACGGAGCGAUGCCGCGUGAGUGAUGAAGGUCUUAGGAUCGUAAAACUCUGUUGUUAGGGAAGAACAAGUAUGAACUAACUAUUCGUACCUUGACGGUACUUAACCAGAAAGCCCCGGCUAACUACGUGCCAGCAGCCGCGGUAAUACGUAGGGGGCAAGCGUUGUCCGGAAUUAUUGGGCGUAAAGGGCAAGCAGGCGGCUUCUUAAGUCUGAUGUGAAAUCUCGUCGCUUAACGACGAGCGGUCAUUGGAAACUGGGAAGCUUGAGGACAGAAGAGGAGAGUGGAAUUCCACGUGUAGCGGUGAAAUGCGUAGAUAUGUGGAGGAACACCAGUGGCGAAGGCGGCUCUCUGGUCUGUCUCUGACGCUG